This is a non-coding RNA of Gorilla gorilla gorilla (western lowland gorilla), 300 nucleotides long. It matches the Rfam family "Metazoan signal recognition particle RNA". Rfam says of the family: The signal recognition particle (SRP) is a universally conserved ribonucleoprotein. It is involved in the co-translational targeting of proteins to membranes. NCBI's taxonomy places the organism in Eukaryota, Metazoa, Chordata, Mammalia, Primates, Hominidae. The record is from Rfam.
GCCGGGCACCAUGGCAUGUGCCUGUGGUCCCAGCUACUGGGGAUACUGAGGCCGGAGGACUGCUAGAGCCCAGGAGUUCUGAGCUGCAAUGCACUGUGUCUAUCGGGUGUCCGCACUAAGUUCGGCAUCAGUGUGGCGACCUCCUGGGAGCAGGGGACCACCAGGUUGCCUAAGGAGAGGUGAACUGGUCCAGGUUGGAAACGGAGCAGGUCAAAACUCCCAUGCUGAUCAGCAGUGGGAUCACGCCUGUGAAUAGCCACUGCACUCCAGCCUGGGCAACACAGUGAGACACUGCCUCUA